AACUUCCCUUUUUUCGAAAAAAUGUGCACAAACAAAAGCUAGAAAACAGGCAGAAACGGGUACAGUACUGACCCGACAAAUCCAAUUCGGUAUCGUUCUCCAACUUUUUCCCUUCUGUCAUCGACCUUUUCAAUCGAUCUCAUGCCCAGCAAACCUAUCAAUCUGAUCAAAAUUUCAUUUCGAAAUUCAGUUCUUGAUCCUACAGCAUUGUUGCGAAAAGAACAAAGAUUGAAUUUUUAGCUACAUACUGCCUCAAUAUAUACAAAUCCAAAUUUAUACUACUCGGUUCAAAAUUACAUACAUGUACAUUGUUUCUAACUUUUUCAAUUAGGGGGGAAAGUAGUGGGUCCAGUUGAGCAGCUGCUAAGGGCUGAUCAACGACAAAAGGAUGUAUCAGUGGAGGAAGUUUGAAUUCUUUGAGGAGAAAUUUAGAGGGAAAGUAGCAGAUGAUAUAACGGGCAAGAUUCAGUGUUGUUCCAGCGGCAAAGGAAGGAUUGUAUUGGGCUGUAAUGACGGCUCUGCUUCCUUAUUGGAUCGAGGAUUGAAGUUCAAUUAGUUUAGUGGGAAAGUAGCAGAUGAUAUAACAGGCAAGAUUCAGUGUUGUUCCAGCGGCAAAGGAAGGAUUGUAUUGGGCUGUGAUGACGGCUCAGCUUCCUUAUUGGAUCGAGGAUUGAAGUUCAAUUAUGGUUUCCAAGCUCAUUCUUCCUCUGUCCUCUUCCUCCAACAGCUCAAGCAAAGGAACUUCUUAGUUACUGUUGGAGAAGAUGAGCAAAUAUCUCCCCAGUCCUCAGCUGUUUGUCUUAAAAUUUUUGAUCUCGACAAGAUGGAGCCCGAGGGAACAAGUAAAUCAACUCUCAACAGCUCAAGGUUUAAUUUUCUCUUUAAUUUUUGUUAUUUCAAGUUUCUCCUUAAUUAUAACUCAUUUAAUUUUAAUUUCUUUGGCAUACUUUGACUUGAUAUGAGUUUAAGAACAAAAUAAGACUUUUGAAAGACGCAAUUUGUUUGGCAUAAUUUGACUCGAUGCGGAGUUUGAUAAAGAAAUGAAGACUUUUAAAUCUUACAAAUGUAUUUUCUCAAAAGUAUUUAUCAAAAAAGUGUUUCGGGAAAAAGCUAUUUUUUUCUGGGUCCGCUUACGCUCAAAAGAACUUUUUUAACUUCUAAAAGCUUGGUCAAACACUUUUAACUUUGGAACGAAAGCACUUUUUUUAGCUUGGAGAAGCUUGGCCAAACAAGCUAUUAAAUAUUAACACUUAUGGUCUUAAGCAUAUCAUAACAUCCGUUUAGCUAUGAAGUUUCUGUUAAGGAAAUAUAAAAAUGCACCAUUCUCUCUUCUUCUUUUUUUUUGAUUUGCGUCGGGUGUCCGAGACUCUUCGAGUCCCGACUAAUCCCGGGGUGCACAGGCCCUCGGCAAGGAGUUUUCCGCAAGUGCACCACGGUUAAUUUAGAUGUUUACCCAGUCCGAUGGCUCUCAGAAAUUGUUUGUACCCAGUGGGUUUCGAACUUGAGACCUUGGAAGGAAGCAAACCCCAAGGCUGAAGUCAAUUGACACCAGGCCAACCCCUGAUGGUUAAAAAUGCACCACUCUCUUUUUAACAGACUAAUAAGGAGAAGUGCCCAAAAAAAUGGAACGGAGGGAGUACAACGCAGACUUAGUUAAGAAUAGAAUCCAAUGGAAGUUGCGGAUCCAUAUCAGCGAUACUAAUUUGGUUAGGAUUGAGGAUUUAGUUGUUUGUUACACUUAUAUCGAGUUUGGUGUUUGUUAGCAGAAUUUUAAGUUUGGGUGGAGACCUUGUAUGUUAGUAAGUGAAUGAGAGUGAAAGUAGAGAACCUCUAGUUUAAUUUGCCUUAGAAGACAAACUUUUUUUAGUGUUGGAAUGAAAUGGGUCUGAGUUGAGAGAAAUGGAUGUAGAAGAUCCAUAUAACGAAUCACAACUAGUUGGUAUUCAGGCAAAGUUGAUAGAUGGAUUGAUUCUGCUUGUUGACAAUUUCCCACAACCCCGGAAACUCUAUGUAGAUAGUUGAUUAACUAUGUUUUUGCAUUGUGGAAUUCAACUCAAAACUUGUGUUGAGUGAAAUGCUGAUAAAAGUUUGUUUUUGAUGAGGGGUUUUGUUUUAAGUAACUGGAGUUUUGAUUUUUGUGGAGGUUUCCAUAUGUUUGCAACCUGAAGGUAUCAAAUGAGAUAGAGCUUCAAAAGAUGUGAAGUUAAUUCAAACUCACUAGAAGUCUAUUGCUGCUAUUUUCUUGCAAUUCAAUUAUUUGAUCAAGUUGGAUGGGCAGUUGCAUUGAUAGUAUUGUUUCUCUGGUAUCUUUUUAUUGACAACUUUAUACUUUUUUCUGCAACUACAUCUGCUCACUUGUUUUUUACCAAUUUAUUAUUUUUUAUGUGAUAUCUCGUGUUUAGAUUGUGAGAAUUAACAGAAUUUGGAUGAAAACCCAGAAAGCACUAAAUCCUUAGAGUAUGCUUAUUUUAAAGUGAUAAUGCUUCUGAUACCACUAACUUUAGCUUUCCUCUUUUCUCUGUUAAUUAGCAAAGGAACUUCUUAGUUACUGUUGGAGAAGAUGAGCAAAUAUCUCCCCAGUCCUCAGCUGUUUGUCUUAAAAUUUUUGAUCUAGACAAGAUGGAGCCCGAGGGAACAAGUACAUCAACUCCAGAUUGUAUUCAAAUACUGCGUAUCUUUAC
RNAcentral lists this long non-coding RNA (2681 nucleotides) under Nicotiana benthamiana. RNAcentral's name for it is "long non-coding RNA (NBEN_LNC041008)". Lineage: Eukaryota; Viridiplantae; Streptophyta; Magnoliopsida; Solanales; Solanaceae. The record is from RNAcentral.